UACGUAGGGUGCGAGCGUUAAUCGGAAUUACUGGGCGUAAAGCGUGCGCAGGCGGCUUUGCAAGACAGAUGUGAAAUCCCCGGGCUCAACCUGGGAACUGCAUUUGUGACUGCAAGGCUAGAGUACGGCAGAGGGGGAUGGAAUUCCGCGUGUAGCAGUGAAAUGCGUAGAUAUGCGGAGGAACACCAAUGGCGAAGGCAAACCCCUGGGGCUGUACUGACGC
This 223-nucleotide ribosomal RNA is filed under the name uncultured bacterium. RNAcentral's name for it is "partial 16S ribosomal RNA". It matches the Rfam family "Bacterial small subunit ribosomal RNA", at positions 524 to 746 of the family's 1533-position model. The record is from RNAcentral.